UACGGGGGGUGCAAGCGUUGUUCGGAAUUACUGGGCGUAAAGGGCGCGUAGGCGGGUGGACAAGUCUCUCGUGAAAGCCCACGGCUCAACCGUGGAAUUGCGGGAGAUACUGUCUGUCUUGAGUCCGGGAGAGGAGGGUGGAAGUCCCAGUGUAGGGGUGAAAUGCGUAGAUAUUGGGAGGAACACCGGUGGCGAAGGCGGCUCUCUGGACCGGUACUGACGCUGAGGCGCGAAAGCUAGGGGAGCAAACGGG
Molecule: ribosomal RNA, 253 nt
Filed under: uncultured bacterium
Lineage: Bacteria
Description: partial 16S ribosomal RNA
Rfam family: Bacterial small subunit ribosomal RNA
Source: RNAcentral